This 423-nucleotide ribosomal RNA is filed under the name uncultured bacterium. RNAcentral's name for it is "bacterial SSU rRNA". It matches the Rfam family "Bacterial small subunit ribosomal RNA", at positions 207 to 622 of the family's 1533-position model. The record is from RNAcentral.
AAGACCUUGCGUUUUUGGAGCGGCCGAUGUCUGAUUAGCUAGUUGGUGGGGUAAUGGCCUACCAAGGCUUCGAUCAGCAGCUGGUCUGAGAGGACGGCCAGCCACACUGGGACUGAGACACGGCCCAGACUCCUACGGGAGGCAGCAGUGGGGAAUUUUGGACAAUGGGCGCAAGCCUGAUCCAGCCAUGCCGCGUGAGUGAAGAAGGCCUUCGGGUUGCAAAGCUCUUUCAGCCGAGAAGAAAAGAUUGCGACUAAUAAUCGCAAUUCAUGACGGUACCGGCAGAAGAAGCACCGGCUAACUACGUGCCAGCAGCCGCGGUAAUACGUAGGGUGCGAGCGUUAAUCGGAAUUACUGGGCGUAAAGGGUGCGCAGGCGGUUUUGUAAGUCAGAUGUGAAAUCCCCGGGCUUAACCUGGGAACU